GUGGAAACUUUGAAACCGAGAGGUUUUCCUGGUGUCUAUGGUGCGGUGGAACCACACUGAUCCCUUCCCGAACUCAGAGGUGAAACGCUGUUGCGGCGACGAUAGUAUGGGGGUUGCCCUAUGUCAAAAUAGC
This 133-nucleotide ribosomal RNA is filed under the name Raphidiopsis brookii D9. The record is from RNAcentral. Lineage: Bacteria; Bacillati; Cyanobacteriota; Cyanophyceae; Nostocales; Aphanizomenonaceae.